RNAcentral lists this RNase P RNA (394 nucleotides) under Clostridia bacterium. Its description in RNAcentral is "RNase P RNA component class A". It matches the Rfam family "Bacterial RNase P class A". From Rfam's summary of the family: Ribonuclease P (RNase P) is a ubiquitous endoribonuclease, found in archaea, bacteria and eukarya as well as chloroplasts and mitochondria. Its best characterised activity is the generation of mature 5'-ends of tRNAs by cleaving the 5'-leader elements of precursor-tRNAs. Cellular RNase Ps are ribonucleoproteins. The record is from RNAcentral. Lineage: Bacteria; Bacillati; Bacillota; Clostridia.
UGAGCAAGUUGGAUGGCCGCGUGCGACAUAAGUCGCAUGAGGAAAGUCCGAGCUCCAUAGGGCAGGGUGCCGGGUAACACCCGGUGGAGGUGACUCCAAGGAAAGUGCAACAGAAAUAUACCGCCUGGCACUCAACUGAACGUAUUAUUCUUUCUCCUCUAUUCUUUUUAAUGCGUUUAGUUGAGUGCCGGGUAAGGGUGGAAAGGUGAGGUAAGAGCUCACCAGAGACCAGGCAACUGGUCUGCUCUGCAAACCCCACCUGGAGCAAGGCGAAUAGGAGGGAGUAGGUGGCCCGCCGUUUCCCUCGGGUAAUGCCGCUGGAGAUGUCAGGCAACUGACAUCCUAGAUAGAUGGCCAUCCUCGACAGAACUCGGCUUAUAGACUUGCUCACAUG